This 1195-nucleotide long non-coding RNA is filed under the name Androctonus crassicauda. Lineage: Eukaryota; Metazoa; Arthropoda; Arachnida; Scorpiones; Buthidae. The record is from RNAcentral.
ACGAAUUUAUAAUUUUUUAACGUAAAAAAAAAAAUCGCUGUCGACUGGGUUUGAAUUUAAAGAAAAAAGAAAAAAAAACCAAGACCGAAUGACGCAUAAGGUUAAUAUUUUGUCGAGAAGGGCGACCGGAUGCGACGUUUGCGCAUUUUCGCCCACUGUUUCUCUAAUUUAGCGACUAUGUUAUAUUACUGAUGUCCUUAACAUUCUUAGGUCGAAAGAAUUACAACGUGGACACCUUAGGUCCAUCUAGAAGGGUCUAUUGACACCGCGGCCGUUACCGGAUGCGAGCAUAAAAUCGCCAAACUAAACAAGAGGGAUCUUGACCUAUUUUGGUCGCUCCUUAUAGUGUCGACCAUAAGUGACUUAUAAAGUUUAUCUCCAGGAAAGUGCCGCUUUAAUAGCAAUAUUUCUUGUGUAUAGAACUUCCUGUGUGGCGUCUGACUCAUUAAUAACUCGUUCUUCUCUCUCUGUUUCUCGGCUGCCAACGAUUUUUCUUUCGUUCGCGCGUCCAAUUUUAAAGUUCAAAGACGCGUAGACUGAGUUUAUUCGCAUUAAUCAAAUGGGAUUAAUUAAAAAAAUAAGGUUUCGUUAAGGCUUUCGGCCGAGAAAGAUUAUUUUGAAGGCCGAAAUCGGUUACACUUGUAAUAAUUUCCUGAAAUAUGAUACAAGGUCUGUGUCCCAAUAACAAUUUCGUGGCGAUCUUAAGCGCUUACGUAAAAAAUUCCUUCGUGAUCGUGCAUUUUUCCAAGGACCGAAAUAUGCUUUUCAAAUGCGUAGGUGUAAACUCGGAGUUGAUAACUGAUGGUAAUCUUAUCGCUCGUCGCGUCGCUUCCAUCGCGUACAGAUCGGCUGUAUAUACGAGAAAUCGCAUUCGACGUUCGCUUCUCCGACUGAACAAAAAAACGAACUUCGCUCUCUCUUCCAAGAUAAAAAGAAAAUUCUAUUAAUAAGACGAGGCUCAAAGUAUUCGUCGAAUUUAGGUUAGACUCGUUUUAGACGUAAUUUUCUUCUCUCGAAAAUUGGAAUGCUGAUUUCUGCUUCUGUACCGUUUGUACCCAUUUGUAUUUAGAAUAGGUAUCCUCUGCUUUAACCUUUAACAUCUGGGCUAUGGAAUGCUGGCAGACUCGUCUCGAUGGUGGCCGGAAUGUCACUCGAGUAGGUUUGUAAGAAUUUAGUCGAAACAAGGUUGUUGGUG